This 266-nucleotide ribosomal RNA is filed under the name uncultured bacterium. RNAcentral's name for it is "partial 16S ribosomal RNA". It matches the Rfam family "Bacterial small subunit ribosomal RNA", at positions 524 to 787 of the family's 1533-position model. The record is from RNAcentral.
UACGUAGGGGGCAAGCGUUGUCCGGAUUUAUUGGGCGUAAAGAGCGUGUAGGCGGUCAGGUAGGUCCGUUGUGAAAACUCGAGGCUCAACCUCGAGACGCCGAUGGAAACCAUCUGACUAGAGUCCGGAAGAGGAGAGUGGAAUUCCUGGUGUAGCGGUGAAAUGCGCAGAAUAUCAGGAAGAACACCCGUGGCUAAGGCGGCUCUCUAGUACGGUACUGACGCUGAGACGCGAAAGCGUGGGGAGCGAACAGGAUUAAGAAACCC